Molecule: long non-coding RNA, 515 nt
Organism: Ornithodoros turicata
Lineage: Eukaryota; Metazoa; Arthropoda; Arachnida; Ixodida; Argasidae
Exons: 2
Source: RefSeq, a predicted model, not a curated record
UUGUCGAAUGGUGCGAGUACCUCGCCCUACCCGACCGAAGGAAGAACAAGAUUUACGAUGGCUUCUCCUUUCUUGGUCACCCGCCGUGCCCGUGAUUUAAACACCUCAUGGCGUAACUCUCACGCACCGUUCCCAGGAAGACAUCAUCUUAACAAGAAUGACCCUUAACAGGCCGUCCACGUUCCCCAUCUAUGUGGCUCUCGUCUGCUUCAUACUGUAUAAAGCAGCCUUUGUUCAUGGCGCGUUUGGUGACUGGGAUCUAAAACGCACACUCAAAGUUGAGAUGCAUCUGGGCCAGGACGGUGGAGAGGCUCGCGACGGGACCUAUGAUGUGAUGACGCCAUUCGGGACCGUGUACGGCGUUCCUCCUGGCCAGUACCUCAUGGACAUCCCAUUCAGCCCAAGAAAACCUGCCGUCUUACGUUACAGGAAUAGCAUCUUGCCAGCUUGACAGCGGGAUGUCCCAGUGACGUUUCAAGAGCAGUAAAAUGUUGCUUUUAUAUUUACUUAUACAA